UUUUUUAAUUUUGAAAUUUAAAUUUUGAAUCUUGCUUCUUUAGCUUUUAGGGUUUCUAAGUUUUCUUCUUUCUAUAUCUACUUUGUGUUUGGUGAUGUUGGCUCACACGGAAGGGGGAAGAUUCGUCGGUGGUGGUGAGAUUUAUGGGUUUGGUUGACAUCAGUGUUUAUCUUUCUCGCAAACUUGUGGCGGUCUUUUUCUUCCUCGCAAACUUAAUCAUCUUCGUUACAAGAUUUUAGGGUUCCUUCCUCUUUCACGUUUGACCCACCAGGUUUUGAAAUUUGGGAACAAACAACAACUAUAUAUGCAUGGUGAUCAUGUGAUUUUUAAUGUUGAAGAAAGUUGGCAAAUGGCUAAGUUUUAUAGCAACAAGGGAAAUACGGCUGGUCUUUUCAAUUUGGGAAAUAUCCGUUAUAUGAAUUCAACAUUGCAAUGCCUCUAUUCUGGUCCAGUUUUCAAGUGUGGGAUACCGGGAUCGGUGUUUGUCUCUCUUUUCUCAUGCUUUUUAUUUUCAACAGGAUCCUUACAAAAGCAUAUUAAGGGCGUGUGUGGAGCAACCGUAACAUGGUAAACACCGGCGUGGAUUGAAGUUUAAUUUCAGGAAGGUGAACAGAUCUUACCAUCAAAAUUGAGGUUCAAAACACUUAAAAUGUAACAUGUUUGUGCUGACUGCAAAGGAAGUGAGGAAUAAUGUCAUGUGGAACACCAUAAUUUUGGGGUAUUCGAGAAAUGGUGAUAUGUAUAAAGCAUGUGAUGAAUACAGGAAGAAAGGAAAAAGGAAAGGCUAAAGCAAGUAUGUAUUUUUCUACUCACUUUUUGAGCAGUUAAUCUGGUAUAUUUGAAUAUGUGUCAAAAUUUUAUAAUUAGUGGUGUUUGCAUUGCAAU
Long non-coding RNA from Vicia villosa (hairy vetch), 885 nucleotides. RefSeq lists it as uncharacterized. Lineage: Eukaryota; Viridiplantae; Streptophyta; Magnoliopsida; Fabales; Fabaceae. The record is from RefSeq and is a predicted model, not a curated record. The transcript is spliced from 7 exons.